GACGAACGCUGGCGGCGUGCUUAACACAUGCAAGUCGAACGGAAAGGCCCUGCUUUUGUGGGGUGCUCGAGUGGCGAACGGGUGAGUAACACGUGAGUAACCUGCCCUUGACUUUGGGAUAACUUCAGGAAACUGGGGCUAAUACCGGAUAUGAGCUCCUGCUGCAUGGUGGGGGUUGGAAAGUUUCGGCGGUUGGGGAUGGACUCGCGGCUUAUCAGCUUGUUGGUGGGGUAGUGGCUUACCAAGGCUUUGACGGGUAGCCGGCCUGAGAGGGUGACCGGCCACAUUGGGACUGAGAGACGGCCCAGACUCCUACGGGAGGCAGCAGUGGAGAAUAUUGCACAAUGGGCGGAAGCCUGAUGCAGCAACGCCGCGUGCGGGAUAACGGCCUUCGGGUUGUAAACCGCUUUCGCCUGUGACGAAGCGUGAGUGACGGUAAUGGGUAAAGAAGCACCGGCUAACUACGUG
This 468-nucleotide ribosomal RNA is filed under the name uncultured bacterium. RNAcentral describes it as "partial 16S ribosomal RNA". It matches the Rfam family "Bacterial small subunit ribosomal RNA", at positions 28 to 507 of the family's 1533-position model. The record is from RNAcentral.